This 977-nucleotide long non-coding RNA is filed under the name Homo sapiens (human). RNAcentral describes it as "HSALNT0409294". The record is from RNAcentral. Lineage: Eukaryota; Metazoa; Chordata; Mammalia; Primates; Hominidae.
AUGGGGCUGCCGACCACCUGACGGCGGGCACCAGCUCCGCAGAUGCGCAUUCAUCCAACUGCAGGCGCUGCACUCAAAGGCGUGUAGGCCCUGAGCCUGUAUAACUUCCUCUGGACCCACGCAAUUCCCUUGGAGAGCGCCAGGCACGACCCUGCUGUGGCUUCUAACUACAAGGCUUCCCUCAGGUGGACAGGCCCACCCCUCAGGGAGACUAGGAUAAGAGGACACCACACACCCGGACAUCAGCGGAGCAUGUCCAGCACCCAGCACACAAAGGCCUCCUGCAUCUCAGAAACUCAGAGAAGCAGCCGCCUCACACCACCCCCGGCCCCUCCCGUCCCUCAGCUGCAACCACCUGCCCACUUUUUCUGCCUCCCGUCUCUGGUCAGCCCAGGCCGUCUUGGCCGGGGUCCACCCACUCCAAAAACCACCACAGUUGUGGCGUUGCCUCCUCGCCAGACAGAGAUAGAGGGCCAACAAUGAAGGGUGACUGGCCAAAUGUCUGGGAGAUGGCCCUGUUCCACAUUGUCUGUGUUCUUGCGAAAUUGCAAGGCGUCACGAGGCUUGCCCACCCAAUCCUCUGGAGAGUUCUUGCGCAGAGGUAGAUUGUUUGGCACACGAGAUGUCGGCGUGGGUCGGAAAGCAUGCGGAAGUCCUGCUUUGCUACGUGAUGGAUUUGCAGGUGGAGGAACUCAGCCAUCCCGGUUACCGGUGGCAGGAUGAUUUCCUUUCAUCCCAACCUUUAUUUCCACAGUGAAAUCAUCAUGAAGGAGCACUGUGUUGGCAUCCUCGGCUACAGGGUGUCUCAUUCCACUGCAGUCCAGCGGUUCUGGGAUCACGAAGGUCAAGCCUCCAGCUGCAGGCAGUACACCUCCUACCUGAGCUCAUUCAGCUGUUUGGCUGAACAUGACUGCCCGGGUUUUGGCAGGAUUGCUGAGAUAUGGGAGUUAGCCUGUGAGCAUGUUUUCGAAUACGGA